CGGGGCAUAGCGCAGUUGGUAGCGCGCAAGCUCGGGGAGCUUGAGGCCGCAGGUUCGAGCCCUGCUGUCCCGACCA
Molecule: transfer RNA, 76 nt
Filed under: Achromobacter xylosoxidans
Lineage: Bacteria; Pseudomonadati; Pseudomonadota; Betaproteobacteria; Burkholderiales; Alcaligenaceae
Also listed under: 1 other name
Description: tRNA-Pro
Rfam family: tRNA
About the family: Transfer RNA (tRNA) molecules are approximately 80 nucleotides in length. Their secondary structure includes four short double-helical elements and three loops (D, anti-codon, and T loops).
Source: RNAcentral